RNAcentral lists this ribosomal RNA (514 nucleotides) under uncultured bacterium. Its description in RNAcentral is "bacterial SSU rRNA". It matches the Rfam family "Bacterial small subunit ribosomal RNA", at positions 28 to 532 of the family's 1533-position model. The record is from RNAcentral.
GACGAACGCUGGCGGCGUGGAUUAGGCAUGCAAGUCGAACGGUAUCAUCCUUUCGGGGGUGAGAGAGUGGCGAACUGGUGAGUAACACGUAGGUUAUCUACCCUCAAGACGGGGACAACCCAGGGAAACUUGGGCUAAUACCGGAUGUGAGCAACUUUUUAGUUGUUUGAAAGGUGGCGUAAGCUGUCGCUUGGGGAUGAGCCUGCGUCCUAUUAGUUAGUUGGUGAGGUAACGGCUCACCUAGGCAAUGAUAGGUAGGCGGCCUUAACGGGUGGUCGCCCACACUGGGAUUGAGAUACGGCCCAGACUCCUACGGGAGGCAGCAGUCGAGAAUAGUCUACAAUGGUCGGAAGACUGAUAGUGCGACGCCGCGUGAACGAUGAAUCCCUUCGGGGUGUAAAGUUCUUUUAUAUGUGAGCAGUGCUUCUUAUAUUAACAGUAUGGGAGAGAGAUAUUAGCAUAUGAUAAGACAACGACGUAACUACCGUACGUCCACGCACGACCGCCGGUACGU